Molecule: small nuclear RNA, 23 nt
Filed under: Arabidopsis thaliana (thale cress)
Lineage: Eukaryota; Viridiplantae; Streptophyta; Magnoliopsida; Brassicales; Brassicaceae
Description: snRNA_07244
Source: RNAcentral
GCUUGUACCAGGUGGCACAGGCA